Molecule: long non-coding RNA, 726 nt
Filed under: Medicago truncatula (barrel medic)
Lineage: Eukaryota; Viridiplantae; Streptophyta; Magnoliopsida; Fabales; Fabaceae
Description: lncRNA gene20924
Source: RNAcentral
GUAAAUUGGUAUUGAUUUUAAAACAAAAUUGUUAAAAUAAUUAUUAUUUAUUAUGGAAUCAUUCUUGGUUGUCAUGGGUGGCUCUGAAAACCUAAGUCGUUGGGAAGGACCAUCCUAGGCUAAAUUACGUGCAAAAAUUGGGCUUUUCUUUCUCCACUUUUAACAAAUAUUAACUGAUCUGCUACGGUUGGUGGAUAUUGUUAAAUUUUCCUCUUGAAAGUGGUUUUUAUGAAAACAUUGUGGUCACCCUUGUUCCUUCUAUAAUUGGGAUCAUGAACACAUUCUAUGUUGACACCGUUAGUGACUUAUGGUAGAUUUGUCUUGGAUUGGUUGACUGAUGGGUUAUGUUCCUAGUCUUGCUCUUGUUCGGUUGUGGUUAGGGCUGGAAAUGUAUCGAAUCGUGUCGAACUUGUCUGAGCUCGACUCAACUCUUUAAGAAAUAGUUCGGCUCGAAACUCGACUCGAAUUCGAUAUGAACUAUUUUUUGGCUUAAGUUCGACUCAUUAAAAGUUCAUGAACAACUCAGUUCGACUCGUUAGGUUCGGUUAAAUUCAACUCAUUUGGUUCAUUAACCAAGUUCGACGAACUAAAAGUCGAGUCGAACUCUAAACUUUAGCCUGUGGUUGAGGGUUCUUGAUAGGAGUUUAGUUGGUUUUCCGUUGGUGUUUUAGUUCUUACUUUUGUUUUUCUGUGGGUGGGAUUCUAUGUUUUUUAUUAUUGCUUGAC